RNAcentral lists this ribosomal RNA (472 nucleotides) under uncultured Sphingomonadaceae bacterium. RNAcentral's name for it is "bacterial SSU rRNA". It matches the Rfam family "Bacterial small subunit ribosomal RNA", at positions 8 to 526 of the family's 1533-position model. The record is from RNAcentral. Lineage: Bacteria; Pseudomonadati; Pseudomonadota; Alphaproteobacteria; Sphingomonadales; Sphingomonadaceae.
AGAGUUUGAUCCUGGCUCAGAACGAACGCUGGCGGCAUGCCUAACACAUGCAAGUCGAACGAGACCUUCGGGUCUAGUGGCGCACGGGUGCGUAACGCGUGGGAAUCUGCCCUUCGGUUCGGAAUAACAGUGGGAAACUACUGCUAAUACCGGAUAAUGACGUAAGUCCAAAGAUUUAUCGCCGAAGGAUGAGCCCGCGUAGGAUUAGCUAGUUGGUGAGGUAAAAGCUCACCAAGGCGACGAUCCUUAGCUGGUCUGAGAGGAUGAUCAGCCACACUGGGACUGAGACACGGCCCAGACUCCUACGGGAGGCAGCAGUGGGGAAUAUUGGACAAUGGGCGAAAGCCUGAUCCAGCAAUGCCGCGUGAGUGAUGAAGGCCUUAGGGUUGUAAAGCUCUUUUACCCGGGAUGAUAAUGACAGUACCGGGAGAAUAAGCUCCGGCUAACUCCGUGCCAGCAGCCGCGAUAAUAC